CAAACUACAAUGAAUUACUGUCAAAUGUGCACAUAUCAUACCUGUACAUUCAUAAUUGUCUAUAUUAUAUAUUGUGUUUUUGCUAUUUUGUACAUUGUAUAUUUGUAUAUUAUUCUUUUUAUUAUCGGUGUCCUAUCCUGUCGCUGUCAUUCUGUUGCACUGUGGAGCUUCUGUCACUAUAACAAAUUCCUCGUAUGUGUAAACAUACCUGGCAAUAAAGCUCAUUCUCUUCAUGUAUCUUCUACAUAUCACAAAUGUAUUUUCGUGUAAAUGGUUCCCCCUGGUGGAGAUGCUCUCCUGACUUGACUUUAGAAGUCUGGGGCCUUAUUACAGAAAUGAACUUAAAACGACAUGGUUACUAAACACACAGUUAAUAACACAGGAUUCUGGAUUUCAUUUCAAAAUCAAUCAGUUUUUAUUUGGUAAGGAAAACACAUACAUGACAUCUAGAAAAUAAAUUCAGACCCAGCGGUCUACAUUUAAUUUCAUCAAUGUUUAACAUACUUCAACAGUCAAUUAGUAAAAAAAAAAAUCAAAUAAAAAAAAUAAGCCAAACUCUUACGAUUGCUGUGUUUAUAAUUCAUUUAUAUUAUUUUACAAUAGAGCACAUCAAUCAGACAUGGCAAAACUGGCAGCUGACAAUGCGUUUGCUGUGCCAAACCUUAGCUGUCAAGCUUUGUUUAGAUGGGCAAUUGUUUAGACUGGCAUUUCCAUCUCAAAUGCUUUUAGUUUCUUUAGUAUGACCAGCAAAUAAAAUCAGGUGCCUGUACCAUGAUGGUGGCUGAACAAACUCAGGGUUACAGGAUUAGUUUUGAGUUGACAAACCAGUCCAAUCCAGCUUUGUUGGUACCAUGAAACUGAUCAUAAACUUUCUCUGUCGACUCAGGCUUGAUCCUGAGUUAAUGGAGCGUGUGCACAUGAAUGUGUGACAUCAGUAAUGAGCAGCCAAUCACAUGCCUUAAAACUGUGAUUCACUUCUUGUGAGAGUCGGUGCGAUUCACUACCAAAGAUUAAAAUAUUGAACAAUAUGAAGAAUUUAAACACUUACACAGUGUGACGGUUCCCGUUACUGAAUUCGUGAGCGCUUUGUGAUUGGCGGCUCCACUUAUGAUUCACUUCAAUUGGCGUCUUAUUGAGUGCACCUGCUGCUGCGGUUCAGAUGCCCUUUAAAAGGGAUUACUAGCGGAGACAACGGCGCACUCGGAUUUUGGACUUGGGAUUUUUGGGUUGUGUUUGGUUUGAUUCUUAUUGUUUGAGCACUUUUAUAUCGCUACAACAGCACAUUACAUUAACAGCCAAGCACCCCGCUUUACACACUGAUGCUGAUGCGUGUGUCACUCCUUUUGUUGCUUCCCUUUUGAGCCAGGGGUUGUAACAAAUUGGGGGCUCGUCCUCGUUUGGUUUUGUAAAAAAUACAAAUUUAAAAUGAUACUUUGGUAAUUGGUUUUGGAUGUUUUUUUUGGGGACGCAUGCAUAUUAGCUCAUAUCCGAGAUUAAGUCGUCGUGUAAAAUCACCAGUUGGUAAGUACAUAUGUGCAAUAUUGUUUUGAACGAUGAGUUUCCCUGUUAGGUAUAGCGGCAUGUUUCCUUUUGAGAUGUGUCGAGUUUGUUGUUUUGUGUAGUGUUGCAGUGAACUUUUUUUGAAAUCCGAUAUGGAUGAAUCUGUAACGGGUGUAUCUAAUUUGCAAUCGACUUUGUCUUUUGAGCAGCAAAAAGAGCUACUACUUUUACAGAUGGAGCAUGAGAAAUUAAAGCAACGUUCCGAAGGGAGUAAGCUGGAGUUGGAAAGAGCAAGACUUGAAGUAGAAACCCUCAAAUUGAAACUUGCGAAAGAGGGUAAGUUGUCUAAUUUUGGUGAGGGACAAACCAUGUCUUUUUUUUUAAGUGAGGAACAAACCAUGUCUUUUUCGCUAACUUCAAAUAUAAAACUGGUUCCAAAGUUCAAUGAAGAAGACCCUGAUAUUUUCUUUACUUUGUUUGAACGCAUGGCAGAAAUGAGGGACUGGUCAAAUGAUAAUUGUGUUGCUUUGCUACAAUGUGUUUUAACUGGAAGAGCACAAGUAGUUUUUUCUUCAAUGUCGGUUGAUGACUGUAGGGAUUAUGAUAAAGUUAAAUCGGUGAUUUUAAAGGCUUACGAAUGUGUACCGGAAGCAUACAGACAGCGUUUUCGUUUGCAGGAAAAAGAGGAAAUACAAACACAUUUAGAAUUUGUCAGAGAUUUGAGGAGAAAUUUUAAUCGUUGGUGUACAGCACUGGAUAUUACGACAUUUGAUGAUUUAACUCAUUUGAUGGUGUUAGAACAAUUUAAGAACACAGUUCCGAAUCGUCUUGCCGUAUAUAUUAAUGAGCACAAUGUUAAAACUCCUGAAGAAGCGGCGAUGUUAGCCGACGACUUUGUACUGACACAUAAAUCUGCAUUUGUUCUUUUCUUCAUCUAAAAAUGACCGUGCGUUCACGGGGAAAUUUGACCCGAGUAAGGUAUGCAAUUACUGCCGGGAGAAAGGACACUGGAAACUGGAUUGUCCAGUCCUUAAGAAUAAAUCCAACCGAACUAUUUCACGUUCACCUGUUAAGUCUGCUGCUUUAGUGGCACCAGCUCUGUCUGAGGGGAUUGGAAGGUUUGAAAAUCAGAAACCCGAUUUUGAAUCUGUCUUCUUACACUCCUUUCAUUACAGAAGGUCGUGUAUGUUUAGUAGGAGAGGAGGAAAUCCCUGUUAAAAUACUAAGGGAUACUGGAUCGAUGGAUUCGUUCAUAUUGGAGUCUGUCCUGCCGUUUUCUUCGCAAUCACAUACUGGUGAGAGCGUGUUAAUUAGGGGAAUAGGACUGAAUGUUCUGUCUGUGCCUCUUCAUAAGGUGAGCCUUCAGUCGGAGUUGAUUCAAGGUGAAGUUGUAAUGGGAGUACGACCAGCCUUGCCAAUUGAGGGAGUUCAUAUUAUUCUAGGAAAUGGACUUGUAGGUGAGCGUGUAUGGGCUGACAGUUCUGUGUUCCCUAUAGUUACUAAUAAUAAAAACUAAACGGAACCUAGCCACGAUGCCACCUGUGUAGUGACUCGUGCAAUGAAGCAGCGAGAGGAUGAAUUGAUUAAUCAAAAAACUCAGUUUAAUAAAGCUUGCACUGAUUUGUUUGUUCCUGAUUUGUCUGCGUUGUCUUUUCCUGUGUCAGCAGAGGAAUUCGGAAAAGAACAGCGAGCCGAUUCCUCGUUGGAUGCGCUCUUCCAGUGUGCUGUCACUCCAGCAGAGAUGAGUAACCUUGCUCGUGGGUAUGUUGUUAGUGAUGGAGUGUUGUUGAGGAAAUGGAUUCCUCACAAAGGGGAUUUUGUUGGAGAUCCUGUUUUCCAGGUGGUGGUUCCUGUUAAGUUUCGCUGCAAAAUGAUCGAAAUUGCACAUGAUCAAUCAGGUCAUCAGGGCGUACGUAAAACUUAUGAUCGCUUGUUGCGAUAUUACUUUUGGCCGCGUCUAAAAUCUCGGUUUAUAUUAAGAAAUGUAAGACGUGUCAGCUCACUAGUAAGCCGAAUCAAGUGUUGAAACCUGCACCUUUGAAACCAAUUCAAGCUGCUGGUGAACCUUUUGAACACAUUCUUGUUGAUUGUGUCGGACCACUUCCUCGUUCUAAAUCAGGAAGCAACUAUUUGUUUACUGUAAUGUGCUUGAACACGCGUUUUCCGGCAGCAUAUCCAUUACGUACUAUUACGUCGCGUUCUAUUGUGAGAGCAUUAACUCAAUUUAUAUCUGUCUUUGGUAUUCCAAAAAUCAUCCAAAGUGAUCAGGGUUCAAAUCUGACUUCUCAUCUUUUUCAGCAAGUUCUGAAACAAUUGCACAUUAAGCAUAAUCAGUCUACUGUUUACCACGCACAAAGUCAGGGUGCGUUGGAGAGAUUUCAUCAGUCCUUAAAAUCGCUUCUUCGAGCAUAUUGUGUACAAUUAGAUCAAGAUUGGGAGGAAGGUUUACCCUGGAUGAUGUUAGCUGCUCGCGAAGUAGUGCAGGAAAGUACUGGUUUUAGCCCUAAUGAUUUAGUCUUUGGCCAUAAAGUGCAAGGUCUCUUAUCUGUUUUUCAAGGGGUUGGGAAAGUUGCAGAGCCUCCAAAAAAAUUGAUGGCCUAUGUUUUGGGAUUCAAAAACCGACUUAUGCAGGCCAGAGAAUUUGCCAAAGUAAACCUUGAAAAACAUCAACGAAAUAUGAAGCGACUUUCUGAUCGGACAGUUGAACGUCGAGAGUUUGAACCAGGAGAUCAAGUUUUGGUACUCCGGCCAAUAGUAUCUUCUCCUUUUGAAGCCAAAUUCGAUGGCCCGUUUGUUGUGCAACGUAAGUUAAGUGAUGAGAAUUAUGAGGUUAUAACUUCGUCACGGAAAAAGUCAGUCAAACGGUACCAUGUAAAUUCGUUAAAACCUUACUAUGAAAAUGAGACUAAAGCUGUACCGAAUAAGAUAUCUGCGCAUUCUGUACUUUCUUCUGUAUCUGUUGGUGAGGGGAAGAUGAGUUUAGUGGGGGAGGAAGAGGAGACCAUUUCUCCUGAUGAUUGCGUGUUCAGUGGCUUUUUAAAAAUUCUGAAUCUUUGCAGAACUUGGAGUCGACUCUCCGUUAUUUACCUCAUGAGAAAUGUCAGGAGUUGUGCCAAUUGUUACAUGGUUUUCCUGAAUUAUUUGGAGAUGCUCCUUCGUACUGAUUGGGUGCAGCAUGAUAUCGAUGUGGGGGACGCAAAGCCUAUCAAACAGCGUUUUUAUCGUGUUUCACCUGAGAAACGGGGAAUAAUGGAGAAGGAAAUAAAGUAUAUGCUAGAUCACAAUAUUGCUGUACAUUCAUCUUCUGACUGGGCUUCCCCAUGUUUAUUAGUAGGGAAAUCAGAUGGAACGGUUAGAUUUUGUACAGAUUUCCGAAAAGUCAAUAGCUUAACUAGGCCAGACUGUUUCCCUUUGCCCCGUAUUGAAGAUUGCGUUGACCAGGUUGGGUCCGCCAAGUUUGUCAGCAAGUUUGAUUUGCUGAAGGGCUAUUGGCAAGUGCCUCUAACAAAAAGAGCCCAAGAAAUAUCAUCUUUUGUCACUCCGUCCGGGCUUUUUUCUUAUCAGGUUAUGAGUUUUGGACUUCGAAAUGCUCCGGCUACGUUUCAACGCCUUAUGAACACAGUAAUUUCGGGUCUUGAGGGCUGUGCUGUUUAUUUGGAUGAUUUGGUUGUUUUUAGUGACAGUUGGGAAUCUCACUUAAAGCGCCUUCGCAGUGUUACAACGUCUAUCUGAUGCGCGGCUUACCGUAAAUUUAGCAAAAUGUGAGUUUGCUAAAGCGACCGUGACGUACCUCGGUAAGGUGGUGGGGAAUGGUAAAGUGUGUCUGGUUCAGGCUAAAGUACAAGCCAUUCAGGAUUUUCCUCCGACGACAAAGAAAGAGCUCAUGCGGUUUUUAGGAUUAGUAGGAUAUUACCGAUCGUUCUGUUGUAAUUUCUCCACAGUAGUGGCACCUCUUACUGAUUUAUUGAAAGGUAAGACAAAGUUUAUCUGGUCCUCUAGCUGUCAACUGGCUUUUGAAAAUGUCAAGUCCUUGUUGUGCUCAGCACCCGUGCUUUUGGCUCCAUGUUUCGAUAAAACGUUCACUUUGCACGUCGAUGCCAGUAACGUGGGAGCUGGGGCUGUUCUUCAGCAGUCUGAUGAGAAGGGAGUCGAACAUCCUGUCAGUUUCUUUUCGAGGAAGUUUAAUUCUUAUCAGCGUCACUACUCUACCGUUGAGAAAGAAGCAUUAGGUCUUAUUUGGGCAUUGCAGCAUUUCUCUGUUUAUCUUAAUUCUAGUGCACCAAUUGUUAUAUAUACAGAUCACAAUCCUUUGACUUUUUUGAAUUCUCUACAGUGUCCGAACCAGAGGCUGAUCCGGUGGUCCCUGUUUUUGCAGUCUUUCUGCUUGGAUAUUCGUCAUGUUCAAGGAUCUGAAAACGUGGUCUCUUUGUAGGAGUCCCUGUCUUAUGGGGAGGGGUGUGACUGUUCCCGUUACUGAAUUCUUGAGCGCUUUGUGAUUGGCGGCUCCACUUAUGAUUCACUUCAAUUGGCGUCUUAUUGAGUGCACCUGCUGCUGCGGUUCAGACGCCCUUUAAAAGGGAUUACUAGCGGAGACAACGGCGCGCUCGGAUUUUGGACUUGGGAUUUUUGGGUUGUGUUUGGUUUGAUUCUUAUUGUUUGAGCACUUUUAUAUCGCUACAACAGCACAUUACAUUAACAGCCAAGCACCCCGCUUUACACACUGAUGCUGAUGUUUUCAGAAAUAUUGUUAGUUGUUUUGUUGUGUUUUGUUUUACUGUAGUGGUUUAUUUUUGAGCUUAAUAAAGCCUUUUCUUCUUGAGCUUUACGUUUGCGUGCGUCCCUCCUUUUGUUGCUUCCCUUUUGAGCCAGGGGUCGUAACAACAGCAAGAUGAAACGAUUUAUCUAUGAAAGAGGAAAACAUAAAGAAUUAUCUAUGUUUAUAUUAAUUUCAAAUAAAAGCUUAAUUAUUACUAUUAAACUAAAUUGGCUUGUGUAAUUGAUUAAGGAUUAAUUUAUAUAAUGAUUAUAUAAAUAAUAUAAAAAAAUUAUAAAAAAUAAUCAUCUCUAAAAAUCAGAUGAUUUUAUCUUUAAAAAUGUUUUACUACGUAGCGUCCUUUCAUUUGGAGUAAGAGAAACUGGAGGAGUGGCUUUAUUGCGUCAGAGAUGUCACUUUUCUUGAAGCUGAUUGGUCAAAUUUCGGUUUGAGAUCUCUAAACCAGAACAUAACCUGCCCCGGAGCAGGUUAGCUGUGGAGCGUAAGUUACUAUGGCGAUGAACACUGCUAAAAGCCAAAGCACUUUCAUGGUACCUAAAACCCAGAGUUGUCACAAACUAAACUGAAACUUACCUGGCUAGCCAGUAAACCGACUUCAUGGUACAGGCCCCAGGUGUUAACAAAGCUGUACCUAUUGUUUUUUUGCUGUUUAUUGGAAUGCAAGUCACCAUUAGAUCAGAUUUCAAGCAGUUUUUCUCAUCAUUUGGGAUGAUGAAAUAUGAUCAUAUGGGAAACAGCACAUUUUUGUAUAUCCUUGAAAGGAAUAGUUAACCCAAAAAAUGAAAAUUUGCUGAAAAAUGCACUCAGGCCAUCCAAGGUUAUUUUUGGAACAGAUCAUUGGAAAAGAUUUGAAUAAA
Onychostoma macrolepis is the source of this 7131-nucleotide RNA transcript. RefSeq lists it as uncharacterized. The record is from RefSeq and is a predicted model, not a curated record. Lineage: Eukaryota; Metazoa; Chordata; Actinopteri; Cypriniformes; Cyprinidae. The transcript is spliced from 2 exons.